Molecule: ribosomal RNA, 484 nt
Filed under: uncultured bacterium
Lineage: Bacteria
Description: partial 16S ribosomal RNA
Rfam family: Bacterial small subunit ribosomal RNA
Source: RNAcentral
AUUGAACGCUGGCGGCAGGCCUAACACAUGCAAGUCGAGCGGAUGAAGGGAGCUUGCUCCUGGAUUCAGCGGCGGACGGGUGAGUAAUGCCUAGGAAUCUGCCUGGUAGUGGGGGAUAACGUCCGGAAACGGGCGCUAAUACCGCAUACGUCCUGAGGGAGAAAGUGGGGGAUCUUCGGACCUCACGCUAUCAGAUGAGCCUAGGUCGGAUUAGCUAGUUGGUGGGGUAAAGGCCUACCAAGGCGACGAUCCGUAACUGGUCUGAGAGGAUGAUCAGUCACACUGGAACUGAGACACGGUCCAGGCUCCUACGGGAGGCAGCAGUGGGGAAUAUUGGACAAUGGGCGAAAGCCUGAUCCAGCCAUGCCGGGUGUGUGAAGAAGGUCUUCGGAUUGUAAAGCACUUUAAGUUGGGAGGAAGGGCAGUAAGUUAAUACCUUGCUGUUUUGACGUUACCAACAGAAUAAGCACCGGCUAACUUCGUU